Molecule: ribosomal RNA, 490 nt
Filed under: uncultured bacterium
Lineage: Bacteria
Description: partial 16S ribosomal RNA
Rfam family: Bacterial small subunit ribosomal RNA
Source: RNAcentral
GAUGAACGCUAGCUACAGGCUUAACACAUGCAAGUCGAGGGGAAACGAUGAGAGAGCUUGCUCUCUUAGGCGUCGACCGGCGCACGGGUGAGUAACGCGUAUCCAACCUACCCAUUACAGGGGGAUAACCUUGCGAAAGUAAGACUAAUCCCCCAUGGCAUUUUAUGGUGGCAUCAUUAUAGGAUUAAAGAUUUAUUGGUAAUGGAUGGGGAUGCUUCUGAUUAGCUUGUUGGCGGGGUAACGGCCCACCAAGGCAACGAUCAGUAGGGGUUCUGCGAGGAAGGUCCCCCACGUUGGAACUGAGACACGGGGCAAACUCCUACGGGAGGCAGCAGUGGGGAAUAUUGGGCAAUGGGCGAGGGCUUGAACCAGCCAAGUAGCGUGCAGGAUGACGGCCCUAUGGGUUGUAAACUGCUUUUAUAGGGGAAUAAAGUGAGCUACGUGUAGUUUAUUGCAUGUACCCUAUGAAUAAGGACCGGCUAAUUCCGUG